This 428-nucleotide ribosomal RNA is filed under the name uncultured archaeon. Its description in RNAcentral is "bacterial SSU rRNA". It matches the Rfam family "Archaeal small subunit ribosomal RNA", at positions 474 to 903 of the family's 1478-position model. The record is from RNAcentral.
UACCAGCUCUCCGAGUGGUGUGGAUGUUUAUUGGGCCUAAAGCAUCCGUAGCUGGCUGGGCAAGUCCCCUGUUAAAUCCACUGAUUUAAUCAUUGGAGUGCGGGGGAUACUGCUCGGCUAGGGGACGGGAGAGGCAGACGGUAUUUUCGGGGUAGGGGUGAAAUCCUAUAAUCCCGGGAAGACCACCAGUGGCGAAGGCUGUCUGCUAGAACGCGCCCGACGGUGAGGGAUGAAAGCUGGGGGAGCGAACCGGAUUAGAUACCCGGGUAGUCCCAGCUGUAAGCGAUGCAGGCUAGGUGUUUGGGCGGCCACGUGCCGCUCUAGUGCCGCAGGGAAGCCGUUAAGCCUGCCGCCUGGGGAGUACGGCCGCAAGGCUGAAACUUAAAGGAAUUGGCGGGGAGCACCACAAGGGGUGAAGCUUGCGGUUU